CUGCACCCAAUUAGCCGACUGUGCUGCCAUUCCCAUGGCGCCAGGUGUGCAGUGGCUGCAAACGGCUGCCUCCUGGGUAGUGUAUGCAACCUGUUGCUUGUACAGGCAGCCCUAAGGGACCCUUCUUGCUUUG
This is a small nucleolar RNA of Erinaceus europaeus (western European hedgehog), 133 nucleotides long. Its record names the gene SNORA70. It matches the Rfam family "Small nucleolar RNA SNORA70". Rfam says of the family: snoRNA U70 seems to be exclusive to mammals and is a member of the H/ACA class of snoRNA which contain H (ANANNA) and ACA box motifs. H/ACA box snoRNAs are involved in the conversion of uridines to pseudouridines (5-ribosyluracil) a constituent of structural RNAs (transfer, ribosomal, small nuclear, and small nucleolar). The record is from Ensembl. Lineage: Eukaryota; Metazoa; Chordata; Mammalia; Eulipotyphla; Erinaceidae.